Molecule: small nuclear RNA, 77 nt
Filed under: Sus scrofa (pig)
Lineage: Eukaryota; Metazoa; Chordata; Mammalia; Artiodactyla; Suidae
Source: RNAcentral
GUGCUCGCUUUGGCAGUGCAUAUACUGGAAUUGGAAAGAUACAGAGAAGAUCAGGAUGGCCCCUGCACAAGGAUGAC